UACAGGGGGGGCAAGCGUUGUUCGGAAUUACUGGGCGUAAAGGGCGCGUAGGCGGCCUGCUAAGUCGAACGUGAAAUCCCCGGGCUCAACCCGGGAACUGCGUCCGAUACUGGCAGGCUUGAAUCCGGGAGAGGGAUGUGGAAUUCCAGGUGUAGCGGUGAAAUGCGUAGAUAUCUGGAGGAACACCGGUGGCGAAGGCGGCAUUCUGGACCAACACUGACGCUGAGGAGCGAAAGCCAGGGGAGCAAACGGG
This 253-nucleotide ribosomal RNA is filed under the name uncultured prokaryote. RNAcentral describes it as "partial 16S ribosomal RNA". It matches the Rfam family "Bacterial small subunit ribosomal RNA", at positions 524 to 776 of the family's 1533-position model. The record is from RNAcentral.